RNAcentral lists this ribosomal RNA (462 nucleotides) under uncultured bacterium. Its description in RNAcentral is "partial 16S ribosomal RNA". It matches the Rfam family "Bacterial small subunit ribosomal RNA", at positions 28 to 507 of the family's 1533-position model. The record is from RNAcentral.
GACGAACGCUGGCGGCGUGCUUAACACAUGCAAGUCGAGCGGUAAGGCCUUUCGGGGUACACGAGCGGCGAACGGGUGAGUAACACGUGGGUGAUCUGCCCUGCACUUCGGGAUAAGCCUGGGAAACUGGGUCUAAUACCGGAUAUGACCUCCUAUCGCAUGGUGGGUGGUGGAAAGAUUUAUCGGUGCAGGAUGGGCCCGCGGCCUAUCAGCUUGUUGGUGGGGUAAUGGCCUACCAAGGCGACGACGGGUAGCCGACCUGAGAGGGUGACCGGCCACACUGGGACUGAGACACGGCCCAGACUCCUACGGGAGGCAGCAGUGGGGAAUAUUGCACAAUGGGCGAAAGCCUGAUGCGGCGACGCCGCGUGAGGGAUGACGGCCUUCGGGUUGUAAACCUCUUUCAGCAGGGACGAAGCGCAAGUGACGGUACCUGCAGAAGAAGCACCGGCUAACUACGUG